Rattus norvegicus (Norway rat) is the source of this 81-nucleotide non-coding RNA. Lineage: Eukaryota; Metazoa; Chordata; Mammalia; Rodentia; Muridae. The record is from Rfam.
UGGUAAGUGGGAAGAUGGUGAACUGCAGAACAUGUGUGUUUCUCGUGUCGUAUGUCUGCUGACCGUCACCUUUAAGGGUCU